Molecule: long non-coding RNA, 5701 nt
Organism: Homo sapiens (human)
Lineage: Eukaryota; Metazoa; Chordata; Mammalia; Primates; Hominidae
Exons: 2
Source: RefSeq, a predicted model, not a curated record
AUUCCAUCCUUGUUCCCUGGAGUCCUGCGGGAGUGGCUGCUGCUGGAUGUUGUCUCUUCUUUGGUAGCUGUCAAAAGAGAUUCAUGAAAAAAGUGAGAACGCAGCUACACAGAAAAUGACGGUUCCUGAAGAGGAGCUUUGACCUCUGACCUCUGCUCUGCUCCUGCCCCAGGGCCUUUGCCCGGGCUGCCCCUCCUACAGAAGGUUCUCAAGGCUCGUGGACUCCCGCUGUCCUUGCUAAGACCAGCUCUGCCUCCACCCCACCCUGUAGGCUCCCUGCCUUUUCCCUGGGAUCAGGCUGUUUCCGUCCGCACUAGAAAUGGGCCCUGUGCAGGCAGGGACGAGGGCUCAGUGGGUACCUGGCAUGGUCAUCCCUCCGCAAAUGUCAGUGGAGGCAAUGAGCUCAGUUUUAAUAACAUGAGUUCUUUCUUUAGAAGUCUGCACAACGGCCCCGUCUUGUGCCUCUUCCUUACCAUCUGGAACGGGAGUCUCAUCGCUACACCCAGGAGAACAAACAUCAUGAGAACUGGGGCUGAGGAGCACAGCUGGGGGUGGACACGCAGCACAGUCACUGCCCUGGGGAACAAAGGUUCCCUCUGCAAAGCCAUCCAGGCUGCCCUUGCCCAGCCCCAGGCCCUCUCAUUCACUUGUUUGCUGUGCCCACUGUGCCUGUCUGUCUGCCUCCCCUGCUAGACAGCAAUCCCCCUGAGGGCAAGGCCCGGCCAUUAGGAGAUGCUCAGCCAGUGCCACUGAAUAUCGGGUUAGAAAGUGAAUGAGUCUGUUCAGGUGAUAAGGAGCUUUGGAAAUAGAAACGGUGAUGGUUGCACAACAUCGUGAAUGCCACUGACGGGUAACUCAAAGACAGCUAAAAUGGCAAAUUUUAUGUUAUACAUAUUUGAUAUUCCAUAGUUCAUAAAAACCCAAAAGAAGGAGUGACUAAAUGUAAAAAGUGUAAUCUUAAAGUUAAAAACUAGGAGAUUUUCUUAAUGCCUGAGAUAGAAAAGGAUUUCUUAAUAACUAAAAGCAUAGAGAAAAACAUUGGCAAAUUGAAACAAGGCAACAUUGUUAAAGUCACCAUAAACCAAUGGAAAAUAAAAGCUGUGAACUGGCCAAAUAGUAGUUACAGUGAAUAAAAUUGGAAAAGGAUUGGCAUCCACAGACUGAAGAAGUUCCUCGUAGCUGUAGGAAAGCAAAACACCAAAAAACAGGCACAGCUCAUGAACAGGAGACUCGCUGAGAGGAGACCUACCGGGCCACGGAGACAGGGCACCUGCCGUGCUGGAGCUGGCUGGGGUACCGAAGCUGCAAUGGGCACCCGGCCUGGAGCUGGCUGGGGUACCGGAGCUGCAGCGGGUGCCCCGCUGGGGAUGGAUGCACCUCUCUCCCCUCGACUGAGGAAGGGAGCAGGUCUGACCAGGCCUAGAGCCCGUGACUGCUGGGCAGUCACACUGAAUACAGAGACUGGAGGCUCUACUCAGGAAGGCAAUUUGCAAAUCUUCAGCGAGGGAAGCUGCGAGGCUGAGAUUCAGGAACAACACUUGCAGGAAUAUGCCCUGGAGGGACUGACACUCGAGAAGAAUUUUUGUUUUGGAAUUGUGAGAAACUGAAAAUGCCCAUCUGCAAGGAAAGUGAUAAAUGAAGUGGAAGGAGUGAUAAGAGUUUUGUACAGUAGUAUACGGAACACUCAGUCGAGCCGGAUGCGUGACCACGACUGCCCGCACCUGCUCCUGUUGGCAGCAUCACCGCGCAGCCCAAGCCCGACAGUGGGAUGGGGGUCACUUCAGAGGCCCUGCAGUAACUGUGUUGUGCAACCGGAGAGGAGAGACACGGGUUCUGGGGGACUUUGAAGGCAGCGCUUUUCAGUGGGGGCUCUGGAUCUUCGUAAGAGACGGAGUAGAGACGGCAGAGAAAACACCACUUGGAAAGAAGGAGCAAUAGCAGAUAAACCCUGUGUGGCUGAGCCUGGGGACAUGGUGCACAGAAAGGGAACUGGGUGACCUGGUGGACCCUCAGGGUCUCACACGCCAGGCUGGGUGGGACUCGGGAGAGGGACUGAGAGGGGUGAGAUGCUACGAUACUUCACAAGUGUUCAAUUAUGACUUUAAGUUUUACCCAUUUAGUUUUGUUUUAUUUGACAAAUUAUGGUUUUAUAUUUUUAUUGUAAUAUUGCUUUUUUCAAUUCAUUUUACAUUUCAAAGUAAAACCAUUUGCCUAAUCAUCAGUCAUUUUACUGCUAACAGCAUUGAUGGGCAUCUGGUUUUAGCUUCAGUUUGCAGCCAACCCUUUCGCUUUCAGAGUGAGGAUUCAGUUCAUUGGCGCGGUUGUGUCUGGCGGCGUCAGCACCCCUGUGACAGGCAGCCUUUCUCCGGGCUUAGAGCGUCAGCGAAGGGAUUAUUUCAGGCCGACACUUGGCAUGGAGAGUUGUCAGGCAAAUGCAUUUUUGAAGAGUUGGAUUUGAUCUCAAUUAUUCCAUUUGGCUUUGUGAAAGGAGAGGGUUGGAAAACAGUUUACCCAGCUUCUGGCUCUGUCAUAUUUUCAUUUUAAAUCUAAAGGCAACGAUGCUGGCAGGCAACCAGCUCUCGGCGUGGACUGACACUUCAGCUACUCUGGGAAAAGCAACCUCAUUCAAACAAGCCAGAGCCUUAGUAGCAGCCACCCCACUUUCCCGCCGGGCUGGGCCACGAUGCUGACCCAGCGACACACAGCUCCCUUGUGUUCCCGCUGGACGCUGGCCCGGCGGCCGUGGCCUAUAGAGCAGGCCCCUCGGUGCAUGAAGCCAGCACAGCCCUGGAAAUCCCGUGCAACAAAAAGCCUCUGUUCCACCCAGAAGAGCUCUGAGCAGAGAGGGCCCCGCCGAGGCCUGCCGCGACGGACUCACAGAUGGGCGCCUGGAGAGAGCGGGCUUUCAUUAGGUCAGCCCAGGGGUGGGGGGAGCAGACAGCACUGCUGGGCUUGGCUUGGGAAAGAGGCGCCCCGAACCCGGAGGAACUUCCAAGAGUUUACAGGACGCUCAGGAGCCUCCUUCACUCUGCCUUUUCUUCACGUCCUAAAGUGCACGGAGCUGGUCUUUAGUUUCCAGACAGUGAGCAUUAGCCCAGGUGGGCUCUCCUCUGCCAAAGAGGGUCCUGAGGACCCCCACGACUUACAGCCCCCACCACUAGAGCCCCCACGACUUGGAGACCCCACGGCUUAGAGCCCCCACCACUAGAGCCCCCACUACUUAGAGCCCCCACGACUUGGAGACCCCAAGUCUUAGAGCUCCCACCACUAGAGCCCUCACCACUUAGAGCCGCCGUGACUUAGAGCCCCCCACUCCUUUGGAUUUUGGGGAGUUGCCCCGCCAGCUCCCCGUCUUUGUGGCUCUGUAAUCUGAGAUGUCCGGAUGGUCCUCUGAUAGAAAAGCCCAGCCCUGCAGUUUCCUCUGCAGCCCAUUGAUGGGGGAAGUGGGGUCCUGCAAGGCUCUGGUGGGCCUGCAAGCUGGGCCUGCUGAGCCACAGGGGCUAUUCUGAUCACCUCCUUCCUCUCUACCCUAUUGGUGAGGGGGACCCGCUGCCCUCAAUGGCACCAGAUGCCUGAGUGCCCAGCACCCAACCCUGGACAGCUGAGAGUGACAGCAGGCCACGGUCACAGGUGCUGAUGUGCGGGUGGAAGGCGGCCCACUCCACUCGGGGACAGGGUGGGCUCUCAGGGGCUGCAUGGCUUUGCAGUGGCCGCCCACAGGGUGAGGGGACCCUGGCUCUGUGGGGCUUGGGGCAGGGUGUUGGGAGAAUCCUGUGGGCUGGCAGGGAUCUGAAGCCCAGCGGGCUGAGGACCAGAUGGGUGCUGCUGGUCCCGCUGGUGGAGGAACUGGCAGGGUGGGGAGCCUUUCCCCCUGGGGGACACAUCCUAUGAGGACAGCGGCUCCCAGGAGGCCUCCAGAGGCUGGGAGGCCUUUCAACGCGAGGAUCUUACUGGCCACAGGUGCUGCUCAAACGAACGCUCCGAAAGUCUCAGCAGGUGAGAGCGCAAGUCUCAGUGCCGGAAACUGCUGUGCUGGGGGUGAGGAGGGGUGGACCCAAGGGCAGCCAAGGGCUUUGUGGGGGCACCUGGGGCCCAGGGCACAGGAAGAGCCAUGCCCCACAUCCAGUGCCCCCAGGUGUAACCCUGCUCCUCAUGGCCCAAGAGGUUUUACGUGUGGAUGGGUUUUAAUUGGGUGUCUGGAAGCAGGUAAAGUUGUGUCUGAGCUUGGUAAUGAGAGGCAGGGUAAAAGGGAGGGACAUCUUGGAGGUGACAUGCCUGAUGCAAGGUCUUUACCAAACAGAAACUCCACAGGCCUGACCACACCUGACCAGGGCACAGGGCAGCCGAGGGCAAGGGACAGGUCCUGGUUUGGGGCCACUGCAUGUCCUUGAUCAAGGCAUUGGGUGUUCAGCACCUCAUCUUCCUUCUCUGCAAGGUGAGCGGCUUGGUCCCCCAAAACUCCAGUGCAUUUAUGAAUUUUAACUGUUCUACAAGGCUACGGCCAACAUGGGUGCCUCCGAGGCUCAGCCUGAAGGCAACAUGUGGGGAGCCUGGUGGAAACCAGCCGUGUGGCCGAGGGCAGGCGCGUGCCGGGAAGUGCCCCUGUGCUGCGCUCAUUAAGUUGUGAUGGUGGCUUGUUAGCAGCUUGUUUUACUUCAAGAUACUUCACUACAUAAAGAUUUUCAAUUAUGAGACAGAUUGAAUUGAAAACUGACUUUUCUAAAAACAAGGAUUAUUCCACAUUGCAGAAAUGAUCCUCAGCUUCAAAGCUUUGUUUUUUAAUGAGUGCACCCUUUAGGCAUUUGGCACGUCUGGGAUCCAAACCCUUGUGUUCAUCCUGUGGACUCUGCAAAACGCACAGUGCCUCAUGUCUCUUUCUGAACCUGGUCUGGUGUGAGCAGUGAGGAGGGAGUGUCUCAGGCUCCCAUGGGGCUGAGGAUGGGCUCCACGAUGUCCCUCAGCCCACAGAGACAGAGACACACCCAGAACCUCCAAGCCACGGGUCUUGUCUGCAGCUGGGCCAGGUGGACUGCACCUGCCAAGGGAGCCUCCAGGGUGGGUGCUGGCUGGCCGGGCGCCCUCCUCACACACGAGGGCGGGCCAACUUGAGUGGAGCCGUGUCUGCAUGCAAUGCUGUCUCUGCCCCCAGCAGCUGAAUGCCACCUGCUGAGCUAAUAUUUGCUGAACCAUCGAGUCAUGGAUUCCUUCCUGACAACGUUGCUUAAGUGUUUAUCCGAGCAAGAGCUUGGGUCAAGGUUGCCCUCGUCUCCCUGCCUCCCUCUGCAAACACCAUUCAACUGCCAGCAGUGCCCUUGAUGUCCCGUGUCCAGCUCCUCUGAGUGUGGUUUCCUGGCUCAUAGUUGCCCAAUGUACGGCAUUCCUUGUGGUGAACCACAGGGCUGGCCCAGGAUUCUUAGAUGUCGGAGGAGGCGAAGAUGCCACGUCCAGCAGAAAGAGCUGCACAGUGGCGGCCGCGCGUCAGAACGGCAGCUGUGGGGUGGCUGUGGAGCGGGGCGCCGGCGGUGGGUUGUUUACCACGAGCUCUACAACCAGUGGCUGUGUCUGUGUUUUUUCUCUUUAAUGGAAUGAAGCAAACGCAGGAGUGCCAUGUCCCUGCAAGGACACAGUAGGGGUCUGGGUGAUUUAGGGCCCUGGUGAAUUCACACCCUCCAGGACAUGAAGCCCUGUUUUCUGCACCAUU